CUCCUACGGGAGGCAGCAGUGGGGAAUAUUGCACAAUGGGGGAAACCCUGAUGCAGCGACGCCGCGUGGAGGAAGAAGGUCUUCGGAUUGUAAACUCCUGUUGUUGGGGAAGAUAAUGACGGUACCCAACAAGAAGUGACGGCUAACUACGUGCCAGCAGCCGCGGUAAAACGUAGGUCACAAGCGUUGUCCGGAAUUACUGGGUGUAAAGGGAGCGCAGGCGGGAAGACAAGUUGAAGUGAAAUCUAUGGGCUCAACCCAUAAACUGCUUUCAAAACUGUUUUUCUUGAGUAGUGCAGAGGUAGGCGGAAUUCCCUGUGUAGCGGUGAAAUGCGUAGAGAUAGGGAGGAACACCAGUGGCGAAGGCGGCCUACUGGGCUUUAACUGACGCUGAGGCACGAAAGCGUGGGUAGCAAACAGGAUUAGAUACCCUGGUAGUCCACGCUGUAAACGAUGAUUACUAGGUGUGGGGGUCUGCCCCCUUCGUGCCGGAGUUAACACAAUAAGUAAUCCACCUGGGGAGUACGACCGCAAGGUUGAAACUCAAAGGAAUUGACGGGGGCCCGCACAAGCAGUGGAGUAUGUGGUUUAAUUCGAAGCAACGCGAAGAACCUUACCAGGUCUUGACAUCGAGUGACGAAUCUAGAGAUAGGUUUUUCUUCGGGACACAAAGACAGGUGGUGAAUGGUUGUCGUCAGCUCGUGUCGUGAGAUGUUGGGUUAAGUCCCGCAACGAGCGCAACCCUUGCUAUUAGUUGUACGCAAGAGCACUCUAAUAGGACUGCCGUUGACAAAACGGAGGAAGGUGGGGACGCCGUCAAAUCAUCAUGCCCCUUAUGACCUGGGCUACACACGUACUACAAUGGAUGUAAACAGAGGGAAGCAAAAUAGCGAUAUGGAGCAAACCCCAAAAAGCAUUCUCAGUUCAGAUUGCAGGCUGCAACUCGCCUGUAUGAAGUUGGAAUUGCUAGUAAUCGCGGAUCAGCAUGCCGCGGUGAAUACGUUCCCGGGCCUUGUACACACCGC
RNAcentral lists this ribosomal RNA (1025 nucleotides) under uncultured bacterium. Its description in RNAcentral is "bacterial SSU rRNA". It matches the Rfam family "Bacterial small subunit ribosomal RNA", at positions 336 to 1393 of the family's 1533-position model. The record is from RNAcentral.